Molecule: ribosomal RNA, 699 nt
Filed under: Daptonema sp. 3 LM-2017
Lineage: Eukaryota; Metazoa; Nematoda; Chromadorea; Monhysterida; Xyalidae
Description: SSU rRNA
Rfam family: Eukaryotic small subunit ribosomal RNA
Source: RNAcentral
AACAUGGAUAACUGUGGUAAUUCUAGAGCUAAUACACGCAGGACAGUCGCAUUUAUUAGUCCAAAACCAAUUUUGGUGAUUCUGAAUAACUAUGGUUUCAAACCGGCAACCAUUCCUUCAAGUGUCUGCCUUAUCAACUUUCGAUGGUAGUUUAUUUGACUACCAUGGUUUCGACGGGUAACGGAGAAUUAGGGUUCGACUCCGGAGAGGGAGCCUGAGAAACGGCUACCACUUCUAAGGAAGGCAGCAGGCGCGCAAAUUACCCACUCUCAGCGAGGAGGUAGUGACGAAAAAUAACAAGAUGAUUCACUUAAUCAUUGGAAUGAGAACAAUCUAAACCUUUUAACGAGGACCUAGCGGAGGGCAAGUCUGGUGCCAGCAGCCGCGGUAAUUCCAGCUCCGCCAGUGUAUAUCUAUGCUGYUGCGGUUAAAAAGCUCGUAGUUGGAUCUUCUUUGGGCCUGGUCCUCCUAAGGGAGUGUCGUUGGUUUUCCCCUCAUGGCCUUCACCGGCUGUGUUGGGUGGCUAACAUUUUUACUUUGAAAAAAUUAGAGUGCUUAAAACAAGCGUUUGCUUGAAUAUUCUCGCAUGGAAUAAUGGAAUAGGAGAUUCUAUUUUGUUGGUUUUCGGAAAACGAGGUAAUGAUUAAGAGGGACGGACGGGGGCAUUCGUAUUUCGACGUUAGAGGUGAAAUUCUUGGA